CCACCCACACCCCCCUCUUCGUCAGAGAAGCUGAAUCAGCGAGUCGGGCAUGCGAUGGCUGCAGCAGCUGGAGAACUCCGGAGGUCAUUAUGGCUCUUCACACACAGGAGAGAAGAAAGAGGGAGGAGCAGAGAGUGGAGGAAAGUGAGCUGACAGGUAAUAUACGCUUCCCUGUGCCUUCCUCCCUCCGGACGGGAGUUUGCCCCUCAUGCCGGCUGGUCCGCACUGACGUCUCUGCUUUUUUCUUCUCCAUUCCGGAUGCACUGGGGGUUAAGUGCGUGGCCGGUCAGCCGCGGUGUGCGGUGUGGUCGCUUGGAGGGACUGGAAUUUACAGCUCUGCAGCAGCAUGAUGAGAAAAACUACUUCUCUGGGAACACCUUGUGAAAUAAUUGUUGGUCAGGCAGCAGGCUAUUGCAGCACAGCACUCUCUGGUUCAUUACCUCCUCUUGGCUGCAGCACCGUAGACAUCUGAAAGACAGACUCAGAAACUCAGUGUCCCUGAAACGUGCAGCUUUUAUCUUGGAUCUUUCCACUCUGAGGCACUUUCAGACGGAAUACAACUCUAUCGGGAUGGUUACACACUUUGCCAGCACUCAAUUUUUCCAGUGGCCAGCCGUAAUUACUGGAGCCAUGUUUGGUGUUUCAAGACAGCGGGGGGGACAGGUGUACGCUAGCCAUGAAGGGACAUUGGUGUCACAGUGGAACGCAAGUUUCAGGCCAGGUGGGGGGUGAAUCGGAUUGAUGUAAAAACAGAUGUGCUGGCAUAUUAAUUCUCCAGGGAGGGCGGUUCGGUGGCUGCUGGAUAUGUGUGUCAGUGAGUGAACCCACAACACCCAGGGUAGUAACCCAGUUUCUCUCUGUCUCUCUGCAUGCUUUCCAAUCACUAGGCAGGGGCAGGGCUGUAGUGCUGCAGUGCCAUCUCCCCCUCUCAACACACUCAUCCCUAAAUCUUUACUAACACUGUAGCGCCACAAGAGUCCAGCCAUACCUCGCCAUCAUAUCUAACCCAUCAAGCACCACAAACUCAUCCAGGAUUUCCACCCCUGCCCAGAAUAGCCUGUCUAAGUGUCCUUCUGUUAUGUUUCCACCCCUGCACCUCUCCUUUUGGCCUGGUAUUGGAUAGGCUCCUGAGAGGAGGGGGAUAAGACAGGGCGGUGUUGACUUGUGGAAUGUGUGGAGCUGGAGCAAAGAUUCAUUAGAGAGCUACUGAACAUUUCAUGCUGCCAUGCAAACAGUUAUUGAUCUCUAGCAGACAGCAUUCAAGUUCUAGAGAAGCUUCUAGAAUAAACACACCAAGGUCAACUCUGGGGGAAAAAAGGGAAUAUGGGGGGUUUGGAGGAAAAAAGAAGGGGUACAAAAAAAAAAAGAAAUGGGAGAGGAGAAUCAGCACACUCGUUACAAAUCACUAUUGCUGAGUGGGCAUUAGCUCUUGCAUGUGACCUCUGGCCUGGUCUGUGUGGCUAAAGCCCAAAUCCUGCUCACAAUAGCUUCCUGUUCCACUUGGAUCAACCUCAUUUUUGGACCUCAGCAACCAGUCUGACAUACAACUGAGAAUGCAGUUAAAUAACGGACAAGCAGAUGGAAAAUGGGUGGAAAGGAGAUGCAUACCAUGUUCAGGACACCGUUACAUUAGAAAUGAGUCUUUUUUUCCCCCUAAGGAGUCCUUUGAACUUUCAUGGACAACAAGAAAUCCAGGCAACAAGGACAACACAGGAACAACUUUCUCUAUUUUUCAACAACAUUUUUACAGAUUUCAGAAAGAGACUUUAUUUUUACCAAAAAAAAAAAACAGUAUGGCACUGUUCUAGAUUUCCAGAUUCCCGACGGAUACCCCACAUUCUCUCGAGGACAGUCAAGGUCAACAGAAGAUAUAAAACUGAGUGAACCCCAAUAAGUGUAACGCACACAGGGAACACUGUUGGGAUAAGGCAAAAGAAAAAAGCGUGACCUAAAGAAUCUGUGAAAGUCACCUUAUGUAUAAUCCACUGCAUUCUGCAGGAUGGUAAAAAAACAA
Molecule: long non-coding RNA, 2014 nt
Organism: Sinocyclocheilus anshuiensis
Lineage: Eukaryota; Metazoa; Chordata; Actinopteri; Cypriniformes; Cyprinidae
Exons: 2
Source: RefSeq, a predicted model, not a curated record